AAAGCAGGGGCAACCCUGUGAGUACAGUGGCGUACGGGUGAGUAACACGUGGGUAAUCUACCCUUGAGUGGGGAAUAACGCUGGGAAACCGGCGCUAAUACCGCAUAAGCUCGGAAGAGGAAAGUCGCAAGACGCUGAAGGAGGAGCCCGCGGCCGAUUAGCCAGUUGGUGAGGUAAAAGCUCACCAAAGCGAAGAUCGGUAGCCGGCCUGAGAGGGCACACGGCCACACUGGCACUGAAACACGGGCCAGACUCCUACGGGAGGCAGCAGUGGGGAAUCUUGCACAAUGGGGGAAACCCUGAUGCAGCGACGCCGCGUGAGCGAUGAAGCCCUUCGGGGUGUAAAGCUCUUUCGGCAGGGACGAUAAUGACGGUACCUGCAGAAGCAGCUGCGGCUAACUACGUGCCAGCAGCCGCGGUAAUACGUAGGCAGCGAGCGUUGUUCGGAGUUACUGGGCGUAAAGGGUGUGUAGGCGGUUCUCUAAGUUUGGUGUGAAAUCUCCCGGCUCAACCGGGAGGGUGCGCCGAAAACUGGAGGGCUAGAGUGCGGGAAGGGAGAGUAGAAUUCCUGGUGUAGCGGUGAAAUGCGUAGAUAUCAGGAGGAAUACCGGUGGUGCAGACGGCUCUCUGGACCGCGACUGACGCUGAGACACGAAAGCGUGGGUAGCAAACAGGAUUAGAUACCCUGGUAGUCCACGCCCUAAACGAUGCAUAUUUGGUGUAGGUCAUUCAGUUGAUCUGUGCCGGAGCUAACGCGUUAAAUAUGCCGCCUGGGGAGUACAGUCGCAAGGCUGAAACUC
RNAcentral lists this ribosomal RNA (800 nucleotides) under uncultured Bacillota bacterium. Its description in RNAcentral is "bacterial SSU rRNA". It matches the Rfam family "Bacterial small subunit ribosomal RNA", at positions 70 to 902 of the family's 1533-position model. The record is from RNAcentral. Lineage: Bacteria; Bacillati; Bacillota.